AAUUAUAUAGUCUAAUAAGGAUGCUAAAUUGCAAGUUUAGAGGUAAGUAAUUUUUAUAGUUU
RNAcentral lists this transfer RNA (62 nucleotides) under Curculionoidea sp. 15 KM-2017. RNAcentral's name for it is "tRNA-Cys". The record is from RNAcentral. Lineage: Eukaryota; Metazoa; Arthropoda; Insecta; Coleoptera.